AUUUAGCAUCACUGUGUGCGGAUGACUUAUUCUUUUCCUAGUUUUAUAAAUCGAAACAUUGAAUUAUUUAGUAGAUACACGUUUAUUUGAUAGCUUUAUUUACUGAUCAAAUACAACUCUGAAAGUAUUAUUCAGAAUAAGAAGUGUUUGAAAUGACCGAAUCGCAAUGAAAUUUUACAGACAGCCACCCUUAAAUAGGCAACAACCAGUAUAGAGUAUGCCUGUAUGAUCCAGAAACUGCACAUAUCAGAGAAAUCAAUAUGUUAAUGACGGUGUUACAUAACAGUACAGUAGUGUAAAAAAAUAAAUUCACCAGGCAAGUGCCAGAUCAUCACUGCUGCCCCUGGUUGGGUAGGGAGACCGAGCAACCAGACUGGAUUUUGGACUGUUCCGUGAUCCGUGACUGGGGGUGCCUGCAAAGGAAUACGAAUCAAGCAGAGAGCUUUAAAAACACUUCCACUCUGGAGAGUGACAUGCUUUCAUUUUUGGAAAGCGGCAACCUUAUGGAAGUAUGGAACUGCAAAUAUAACGACGGGCAUUGUCUGCCUUUUACGUGUAUUGACUCGAGGACCUGCUGGCUGGACGGCGUGCCGGAUCGCGUUGGAGAUCCCCGCACAAAAACCUGCACACACACACCGGCCCUUUGUGGGUGAAGCAUCACUCAGAAGCAGUCCCUUGGCUGUCCUCUGAAAACGCUGGGGAGGGGGACGCAGCCGAUUGGAUGAGAUGGCCUUUACCUACUCGGUUCACGUAGAAGAAAAGUGAAACUCUGUGGUCUAUCAGGAGUGGAUGUCAUUGGUGGAGUAGAAACUCCCUCCGAACGCUGGUGGCGUCUGUGUAGGCAGCUGCACCUUGGGGCUGCUUUCCCGCCCAGUGAAGUUCCCCAAAUUUUCCCUUUGGCGCCCUUUUGUCAGCCUAGUUCCGCAUAUGGCGAAGAUGGAGCACGUCAAGGCUGUGUCCCGCUUUUCAGAAACACAGCCUGCUUCUUCAGACACCACCCAUUUCAUUGUGAAAGUGUGUCAGCCUGCUUGAAACUGUACUGCCCUCUCCUCCGUGAACAAUUCUGCGCUUUCAGUCUGAGUGUCACACCUUCUGUCGUAACUUUAAAGGUACACGGAUGGGGUGAAUUAAG
Molecule: long non-coding RNA, 1132 nt
Organism: Brienomyrus brachyistius
Lineage: Eukaryota; Metazoa; Chordata; Actinopteri; Osteoglossiformes; Mormyridae
Exons: 3
Source: RefSeq, a predicted model, not a curated record